Non-coding RNA from Paramuricea clavata, 518 nucleotides. The record is from the annotation of a GenBank genome assembly. Lineage: Eukaryota; Metazoa; Cnidaria; Anthozoa; Malacalcyonacea; Plexauridae.
ACUUAUUCGGUCAAGUUUUAUGGUAAAGAGAAACUUACCGCGAAGAUUUUGAGCAUAUAUAUGAUUGAAUUGGAUGAAAACUCGCAAAAUUAUCCAUCCAUAAAAGUUCGUGCCUAGUACUGAUAUAGUACUAUAUAUGUAACUUGUGCAGUUUUGCUUUAAUUUUUGCUCACUAUUUGCAUAAAAAGCAAAUUAUUACAGACCAUAGAUGAUAGACCCUCAUCCAGUGCUCUCAUCAGUUUACUUCUCUAACAAGGAAGGGGGGGGGGGGUACAUAACAGUUCAUUUUUCAUAAUUAUGAGGACAGAGCAGAUGAUGAUGAGAGAUGCAAGUAUAAAACACCAUUCACAAGGCUAGAUGUUAACAUAUAGCACAGUAUUUCUGGCAAUAAAACGCUCCAACUGACCAUUUCACACGAACUUUUAUCGCUGGAUAAUUUUGCGAUUUUUCAUCCAAUUCAAUCGUAUAUAUGCUCAAAAUCUUUGCGGUAAGUUUCUCCUUACCAUAAAAUUUGACCG